RNAcentral lists this unclassified non-coding RNA (954 nucleotides) under Hevea brasiliensis (rubber tree). Lineage: Eukaryota; Viridiplantae; Streptophyta; Magnoliopsida; Malpighiales; Euphorbiaceae. The record is from RNAcentral.
AAAAAGUCGUGGAUGGCUGGCAAAAGAGUCUCUCAACUACGCUAAACACGCUUCAUCCCUCAUAAUAUAGCACUCAGAAAAUGUGAAAUUUCACAAAACGUGUAAGAUCAGAUCCAACAUCUGCCCCUUUUCUUUCUUUUAAUUCCUAAUCCACGUUCCCUCUUGUGCCCAACAGCACCCUAUGGAAGCACAAGCAUCACCGCCGCUCUCUGAAAAACCCAAGCCCUCCCUCUCCAGGAAAUCUUCAUCCUGCUCCUCCUUCCGCCUACGUAGCCCUAGCCUCAAUUCCCUCCGUCUCCGCCGCAUCUUUGACCUCUUCGACAAGAAUGGCGAUGGAAUGAUCACAGUCCAGGACCUUAGCCAAGCGCUCAGCCUUCUUGGCCUCGAUGCUGACUUCUCCGAACUUGAAUCUACCAUCAGAUCUCACAUUAGGCCUGGCAAUGAUGCCCUUUUGUUUGAAGAUUUUGUAUCACUUCAUCAAUCGCUGGAUGAAACCUUCUUUACCUACGACGAGGAGAAUACGGAGGAUGUACAGGAUGCAAUGACGCAGGAAGAAUCUGAUCUGUCGGAGGCUUUCAAGGUGUUUGAUGAAGACGGCGAUGGCUACAUUUCUGCACAUGAACUUCAAGUAGUGUUGAAUAAACUUGGAAUGCCCGAAGCUAAGGAGAUCGACAGAGUUCAACAGAUGAUCUGCUCUGUUGAUCGUAAUCACGAUGGCCGUGUCGAUUUCUUCGAAUUUAAGGACAUGAUGAGAAGCGUUAUCGUUCGCAGCUCUUAAUUAAUUAAACCUCUCUCUCUCGUUUUCUUUCUGGAUUUUCUUUUCUUGGUAGUGAGUAGUAGGCACGCAUGGAGAGAGAAUCCAUUGAUGUAGUGAUGGUAAGGCUUCAUGCAUGCAUGUAUAUGUUAAUCUAUGAUUGUGAAAGGAUCCACACAUCUUCAGUUUUUGCUAAAAAC